GGUCCCCGACGUCCCCAACCCCCCUUGGGAGCAGAAAACAAAAGCUUCUAAAGGAAAUGCCCAUAAUAGAACAGCGCACACAGAGAGCACCGGAGCGCUCCCGAGACACUCGGAUGCUGUAAUGAAUUUAUGUUCAUUAGUGAUUCUUUUUUUCUUCGUUUCACUCUCCUCUCGUUUUGUUCGAUCUGAUCCAUAGAGAAGCGUUUGGGUGUCCUUUUCUUGUCGUCUGUCCGGACGCUCGUUAUGCGCUCGAAGUAGCAUAACCUCAAACCGGCACCGCUCGUUCCCGGGACCCAUCGGGGCUGACCACACAGGGCGGCAAGUCCGGCGAGCGAUUUUCCGUCCGCCGGUUAGCGCAUAGUGUCUGCAACAACACCGUGUCCAGCCAUACGUCGAUAGUCCAUAAAUUACCCUUCAUUUGCAUAAAUAAUUAACGGAUAUUGGAAGGCAGAAUUUAUCGCAUUCUUCCUUGGUGUGUGUGUGUGUGGAUGUGUCUGUGUUUGUGUGCUGUAUUGUGGGGGGGGAUCGAGAUCCCCGGGUGCCACUUUUACGGUGGCUCCUGGAUUUUAGCUCCGGAGCCGGUAAUCUGCUGAUGGGAUGAUGUGCAAGGGCAAGCACAUGCCAGUGCGCUACCAACAGAGACACAACAUAUUGUCCCGUGUCCAGUGUGCUGGCAAGGGAACAUUACUGAGAAGGGAGGAGCAUGCGGAGGAUUAUGCUUGAAAGAAAUCAUCCCACAUUGUCUGGGCUGUGGUUUGGUGGUGUCACUGGAAUUGGUGAUGACAUCGAUGAAAGAUAGCUUUUCCAGUGUUUCUUAAGUUAUGGGGUACUAAACAGUGAUGACAACACUCAUCAAAAAGUAACAAAACAUCGUUUAACUUUCACUUUAACUUAGAAGAUUGAUAAGCAAUGAGAAUGUGAGACAAAAAGUAGAGAAAAUCGAGGAAGAACAAAUGGCUUAUAAAAUAAAAUAAACAAAGUAAAAGAAAUGCAAAACUUUUUCAUGAAGUGCAAAAGAACAUAAAAAAACAUCAAUAAAAUCUAUAAAAAAUAAAAGUAAGAAAAAACACAUGCAACAUAAAUAAGGAAACGAAAAAGAUCAGCAAAUAAUCAGAAAAUACUGAAUUAAAGAAAUAAUUUUAUUUAACAAAUAAAAAAUAAAAUUAAAUAAAAACAAACGCAUUCCGAGCCACUGCUCCAAUCGGCAAUCGAAUGUCAGCUUUGUGUCAGCUGAUUUGCCCAGUUGGACUGCUGCUGUUGGACCAGCAGUGCAGUGCGUAUAGACAAUCCGGCCGGACGGGAACGGAAUCGACGGCCUCGCCGGACGCCGAUUGGCAGGCGAGAAGAUUCGAUUUGCAAGUAAGACACUCGGGAGGAACUCUUUCGGUCUUGGUUCGCGGAAUGGAUGCAUCUAUGAGGACUUGAAUGGUAUAGGAACUGGUGCCAAGCAUUAACACCUUGCCGGAAUCGAUGGGUCGGUCACAAC
Molecule: long non-coding RNA, 1486 nt
Organism: Anopheles stephensi (Asian malaria mosquito)
Lineage: Eukaryota; Metazoa; Arthropoda; Insecta; Diptera; Culicidae
Exons: 3
Source: RefSeq, a predicted model, not a curated record